GGGUAAUAAAUGUGUGUUAGCCAGACCCAGAAAACUGUGAGUCUCUGAUUAGGAUACUACGGACCGAAGAAGUUGCCUGGCUGAUGUAGAGCUUUCCUGAUCUAGCCCUCUAUCUCACCUACUCGCUCCCAGCUGUAGUGUAAAAAGAAAUGGAACAGGACAUGCCUCCAGCCAGUACUGAGAUGUGGGAUUCUGACUACAGUUCAGAUGAAGAGAUAUCCACUAAGAAGGAUCAGCACUCGCGUCUGGGAGAGGAUAACUUGGAUGACACACUGGAGUAUGACUUCUCUGGCCCAGCCUUGAGAAGGGAGAGGCUGGGAUCCCAAAAAACACUGAUUGUGGGACAAUAACCCAGCAGAAAGCGAGGAUGCCAGACAGCCAAAGGAUAGAAACUGAGAGAAUCAAGUGCUCUCGGCUGUGCCUGACCCAUCCAAUGGCUGAUUUAUUUAAUUUCUUUGUAUCAAAGCUAUUUUUGUCACUUUCUCAGCCAGCAUGGGAAUUGGAGAGACAGAGGUGGAAGGCCCUGUGUUCUGUUCCCCCCCCCCCCCCCCAAAGCCAACUAGUCCUCAUCUUGAUCUGGAUUCAGAUUGAACAGACAUCCUAGAGAUGAAAGGUACAACUAGAAGAAUAGCCCAUCGGUCUUGGAAAACAAAGGGAAAAAAUUAUAGUGCUGUCUCUCAAUGGCUCUGGCCUCAGCUAUCAAACUGUCCUUGCAGAAGUUCAGGGGAAGCUGGAGACUUACAAGUGCAGUUGCAAGAUUGGGGUCUGUAGUGGCAUUUCUUGCAUAUAGUUACAAAGAUCUGUGUGGUGGUGGUUGUGUUUUUUAAGGGGUAUUAAUAAAGCUGUCUAUUUACAUCCACA
This is a long non-coding RNA of Dermochelys coriacea (leatherback sea turtle), 861 nucleotides long. RefSeq lists it as uncharacterized. The record is from RefSeq and is a predicted model, not a curated record. The transcript has 3 exons. NCBI's taxonomy places the organism in Eukaryota, Metazoa, Chordata, Testudines, Dermochelyidae.